GAUGAAGAACGUAGCGAAAUGCGAUAAGUAAUGUGAAUUGCAGAAUUCAGUUAAUCAUCGAAUCUUUGAACGCACAUUGCGCCCGCCAGUAUUCUGGCGGGCAUGCCUGUCCGAGCGUCAUUUCAACCAUCAAGCCCCGGGCUUGUGUUGGGGACCUGCGUCCGACGCAGGCCCUGAAAACCAGUGGCGGGCUCGCUGUCCACACCGAGCGUAGUAACUAACCUCGCUAUGGAGUGGCGCGGGCGCCUGCCGUAAAACCCCCAAUUUCACAAGGUUGACCUCGGAUCAGGUAGGAAUACCCGCUGAACUUAAGCAUAUCAAUAAGCGGAGGA
RNAcentral lists this unclassified non-coding RNA (332 nucleotides) under soil metagenome. RNAcentral's name for it is "partial contains 5.8S ribosomal RNA, internal transcribed spacer 2, and large subunit ribosomal RNA". The stretch from base 1 to 120 matches the Rfam family "5.8S ribosomal RNA", at positions 35 to 154 of the family's 154-position model. The record is from RNAcentral.